Molecule: long non-coding RNA, 143 nt
Filed under: Gopherus agassizii (Agassiz's desert tortoise)
Lineage: Eukaryota; Metazoa; Chordata; Testudines; Testudinidae
Description: lncRNA (ENSGAGG00000010118.1)
Source: RNAcentral
CUGUUUGCUUGCUUGUAAUUUCCUUUUAACUUAGGAAGGCUCUUUUCUGUUUGGGGUGACGGGACCUGGAAUCAGCCAUGGACUCUGAUACCUUUUCCCUGUUAAUGCAGCCACCUGGAUCAGGAUCAGUGCAUUCGAGCCCA